RNAcentral lists this ribosomal RNA (680 nucleotides) under Bremia lactucae (lettuce downy mildew). RNAcentral's name for it is "LSU rRNA". It matches the Rfam family "Eukaryotic large subunit ribosomal RNA", at positions 81 to 634 of the family's 3401-position model. Lineage: Eukaryota; Oomycota; Peronosporomycetes; Peronosporales; Peronosporaceae. The record is from RNAcentral.
UAGUAACGGCGAGUGAAGCGGGAUGAGCUCAAGCUUAAAAUCUCCGUGCAAAUUUUGCAUGGCGAAUUGUAGUCUAUAGAGGCGUGAUUAGCAUAGGCACUUGGGGCAAGUUCCUUGGAAGAGGACAGCAUCGAGGGUGAUACUCCCGUUUAUCUCCGAGUUGCUUAUGCGUACAAUCCGUUUUCUUUGAGUCGCGUUGUUUGAGAAUGCAGCGCAAAGUAGGUGGUAAAUUCCAUCUAAAGCUAAAUAUUGGUGCGAGACCGAUAGCAAACAAGUACCGUGAGGGAAAGAUGAAAAGAACUUUGAAAAGAGAGUUAAAGAGUACCUGAAACUGCUGAAAGGGAACCAAAUCGUUUCCAGUGUCUAUAAUCCGUGGUAUAUUUCAUUGGCGAAUGUGUGCGUGCGUGUACUCUGGCAGCGGCUUUUUGCUGCGCCUUGUGUGUGUGUGCACUUUCUCGCUGAUGCCCUGUACCGUGGUGGGACGUCAAUGUCGGUUCGUAAAUUGCGGGAAAUGACUGCUGAGGAGGUAGGGCGAACGCUUGCGUUUGUCUGUUAUAUCUUGGCGGACGUAGUAGUCGCGGUUGGGACUGAGGUGCCUACAAUGUGCUUAUGAGUAGAAUUGAUUCUCUGUGUGCGCCGUGUGCGGAUAGCUUGCUAUGCGUGUGUGGCUGUGUGUGGAU